Molecule: ribosomal RNA, 243 nt
Filed under: uncultured bacterium
Lineage: Bacteria
Description: partial 16S ribosomal RNA
Rfam family: Bacterial small subunit ribosomal RNA
Source: RNAcentral
CCAAGCGUUGUUCGGAUUUACUGGGCGUAAAGGGCGCGUAGGCGGCUUGACAAGUCACUUGCGAAAUCUCCGGGCUUAACUCGGAACGGCCAAGUGAAACUGUCAUGCUAGAGUGCAGAAGGGGCAAUCGGAAUUCUUGGUGUAGCGGUGAAAUGCGUAGAUAUCAAGAGGAACACCUGAGGUGAAGACGGGUUGCUGGGCUGACACUGACGCUGAGGCGCGAAAGCCAGGGGAGCAAACGGG